GCCCGCCUAGCUCAAUCGGUAGAGCGUCAGACUCUUACGGUCUCCCUGGCGGGUUGAUUGUCAGUUACGCAAUCUGAAGGCUGUGGGUUCGACCCCCACGGUGGGCU
This is a transfer RNA of Stereum hirsutum FP-91666 SS1, 107 nucleotides long. It matches the Rfam family "tRNA". From Rfam's summary of the family: Transfer RNA (tRNA) molecules are approximately 80 nucleotides in length. Their secondary structure includes four short double-helical elements and three loops (D, anti-codon, and T loops). The record is from Rfam. NCBI's taxonomy places the organism in Eukaryota, Fungi, Basidiomycota, Agaricomycetes, Russulales, Stereaceae.